This 402-nucleotide long non-coding RNA is filed under the name Fukomys damarensis (Damara mole-rat). RNAcentral describes it as "lncRNA (ENSFDAG00000032227.1)". Lineage: Eukaryota; Metazoa; Chordata; Mammalia; Rodentia; Bathyergidae. The record is from RNAcentral.
CCAGAUCUUUAAUACGAGCACUUUAGGGGGACGUUUCUGACACAGACUGUGACGGUAUUUCUGUGAGAUCACCGAUUCAGGACUAUGGUGUGCAGCUGUCUCCUGCGUAAGGAGUAUACUGACUGCCCAGAGCGGUCCGCGGUACUGCAGCAGGCCAGGUGACUAUCAGUUCAUUCGGCAAGUUGAAUACAUUCACUCUUUAUCUGUCACAUCCUCCUCAUUCCAGGCUGGGCAGCCGGCCAUGUGCUCCCGUCACAUUGUACAGCACGAGCCUAGCUGCUCACAGAACCUCGCGAUCGGAAAGGAUUGAAAUCCCCGAAUGCCUGACGUUCACCCCACCCAGAGCCUGGGAAACCGGCGGGAGCCUCGGGGGCUCGCGUCUCAGUGGCCGCGGCCGCUGUG